This 255-nucleotide ribosomal RNA is filed under the name uncultured bacterium. Its description in RNAcentral is "partial 16S ribosomal RNA". It matches the Rfam family "Bacterial small subunit ribosomal RNA", at positions 524 to 777 of the family's 1533-position model. The record is from RNAcentral.
UACGUAGGGUGCGAGCGUUGUCCGGAAUUACUGGGCGUAAAGAGCUCGUAGGUGGUUUGUCGCGUUGUUCGUGAAAACUCACAGCUCAACUGUGGGCGUGCGGGCGAUACGGGCAGACUGGAGUACUGCAGGGGAGACUGGAAGUUCCUGGUGUAGCGGUGGAAUGCGCAGAUAUCAGGAGGAACACCGGUGGCGAAGGCGGGUCUCUGGGCAGUAACUGACGCUGAGGAGCGAAAGCGUGGGGAGCGAACAGGA